Molecule: small nuclear RNA, 106 nt
Organism: Pteronotus mesoamericanus
Lineage: Eukaryota; Metazoa; Chordata; Mammalia; Chiroptera; Mormoopidae
Source: RefSeq, a predicted model, not a curated record
GUGCUUGCUGUGGCAGCAUAUAUACUAGAAUUGGAACGAUACGGAGAAGGUUAGCAUGGCCCUGUGCAAGGAUGACACGCAAAUUUGUGAAGCAUUACAUAUUUUU